RNAcentral lists this ribosomal RNA (391 nucleotides) under uncultured bacterium. RNAcentral's name for it is "bacterial SSU rRNA". It matches the Rfam family "Bacterial small subunit ribosomal RNA", at positions 28 to 413 of the family's 1533-position model. The record is from RNAcentral.
GACGAACGCUGGCGGCGUGCCUAACACAUGCAAGUCAGGGAGAAGGAGGUAGCAAUACUUCCGGAAACCGGCGCACGGGUGAGUAGCACGUAGGUAACCUACCCUUGAGCGGGGAACAACAUCGAGAAAUCGGUGCUAAUACCGCAUAAUGCAACGAGACCGCAUGGUUUUGUUUGUUAAAGAUCCGCAAGGAUCACUUGAGGAUGGACCUGCGCCCGAUUAGCUAGUUGGCGGAGUAAAGCCCACCAAGGCAACGAUCGGUAGCCGACCUGAGAGGGUGAUCGGCCACACUGGAACUGAGAUACGGUCCAGACUCCUACGGGAGGCAGCAGUGAGGAAUAUUGGUCAAUGGCCGAAAGGCUGAACCAGCAACGCCGCGUGAGGGACGAAG